RNAcentral lists this ribosomal RNA (445 nucleotides) under uncultured bacterium. Its description in RNAcentral is "partial 16S ribosomal RNA". It matches the Rfam family "Bacterial small subunit ribosomal RNA", at positions 354 to 796 of the family's 1533-position model. The record is from RNAcentral.
GUGAGGAAUAUUGGUCAAUGGGCGGAAGCCUGAACCAGCCAUCCCGCGUGAAGGAAGGCGGCCCUAUGGGUUGUAAACUUCUUUAGUACAUGAAGAACAGGAUCUACGCGUAGGUUUAUGACGGUAAUGUACAAAAAAGCAUCGGCUAACUCCGUGCCAGCAGCCGCGGUAAUACGGAGGAUGCGAGCGUUAUCCGGAUUCAUUGGGUUUAAAGGGUACGUAGGUGGCCCUGUAAGUCAGUGGUGAAAAUCUGCCGCUUAACGGUAGGGGUGCCAAUGAUACUGCGGGGCUUGAGUACAGUUGAGGUAGGUGGAAUGUGUAGUGUAGCGGUGAAAUGCAUAGAUAUUACACAGAACUCCGAUUGCGAAGGCAUCUUACUAAGCUGAAACUGACACUGAUGUACGAAAGCGUGGGGAUCGAACAGGAUUAGAAACCCGGGUAGUCC